GGUCCCGUAGCUCAACAAGGCUCGCAAGAGUGCGAUGGAGCACCCGUCAUGACGCCGGGAGGUAUGCGGGUUCGAACCCCGCCGGGACCACCA
This 93-nucleotide transfer RNA is filed under the name Lentzea albida. RNAcentral's name for it is "tRNA_Pseudo_ATG". It matches the Rfam family "tRNA". From Rfam's summary of the family: Transfer RNA (tRNA) molecules are approximately 80 nucleotides in length. Their secondary structure includes four short double-helical elements and three loops (D, anti-codon, and T loops). The record is from RNAcentral. Lineage: Bacteria; Bacillati; Actinomycetota; Actinomycetes; Pseudonocardiales; Pseudonocardiaceae.